UACAGAGGGUGCGAGCGUUUGUUCGGAAUUAUUGGGCGUAAAGCGCAUGUAGGCGGCUUGUUAAGUCACGUGUGAAAGCCCCAGGCUCAACCUGGGAAGUGCGCGUGAAACUGGCGAGCUUGAAUCCUGGAGAGGGUGGCGGAAUUCCAGGUGUAGCGGUGAAAUGCGUAGAUAUCUGGAGGAACACCGGUGGCGAAGGCGGCAUCCUGGACCGGUAUUGACGCUGAGGCGCGAAAGCUAGGGGAGCAAACGGG
RNAcentral lists this ribosomal RNA (254 nucleotides) under uncultured bacterium. RNAcentral's name for it is "partial 16S ribosomal RNA". It matches the Rfam family "Bacterial small subunit ribosomal RNA", at positions 524 to 776 of the family's 1533-position model. The record is from RNAcentral.